RNAcentral lists this long non-coding RNA (533 nucleotides) under Nicotiana benthamiana. Its description in RNAcentral is "long non-coding RNA (NBEN_LNC040847)". Lineage: Eukaryota; Viridiplantae; Streptophyta; Magnoliopsida; Solanales; Solanaceae. The record is from RNAcentral.
CACUUUCCUCCUGUGGAAAUUGACAAGGAUGAAGGUGGUGGUGGUGGUGGUGUUGGGCAAGAUCGUGAUAAUAAUGCUAGUAGUAGCUCCAGUAGUUCCAGCAGCUCCAGCAGUGAUUCCUCCUCUUCUAGUGGUAUAUAUAUAUAAACUACUCCAACUGCCAAAAAUGAUCCUUUUUGUUGUUCUGGCUCUCAAAUGAAGGCUUUGAUUAAUUGAACAUAACUUUUUUUGUGCAGAUUCUGAUUCAGGAAGUUCUUCAGGGAGUGACUCUGAUGCUGAUGAUGCACACUCUUGAGAUUUGUUGGUCCAAGCAUUGGCCGUUUUGUUUUUUGAGGUAUAAAGUCAGUGCCUCGAAUUGUCUUUCGAUGUUUUGCACAUUCCGCAUCUUGACAUUUGUUGGUUCAAGCGUUGGCCUUUUUUGUUUUUUGAGGUAUAGAGUCGGUGCCUCGAAUAGUCUCUUGAUGUUUUGCACAUUUCGCUGAGCUGAGAAGUUUGGAAGAACCUUUAUGCAGAGCUGUAACCACAUGGGCAGG